This 76-nucleotide non-coding RNA is filed under the name Roseateles saccharophilus. Lineage: Bacteria; Pseudomonadati; Pseudomonadota; Betaproteobacteria; Burkholderiales; Sphaerotilaceae. The record is from RNAcentral.
UAGCCAUGAUUCACCUCUUCAUCAGGUGGGUUGUGGUCAGGCCGACCGAGCGUUGCACCGCCCGGUUCGGCCGCUU